RNAcentral lists this ribosomal RNA (446 nucleotides) under uncultured marine bacterium. Its description in RNAcentral is "bacterial SSU rRNA". It matches the Rfam family "Bacterial small subunit ribosomal RNA", at positions 360 to 804 of the family's 1533-position model. The record is from RNAcentral.
AAUAUUGGACAAUGGAGGCAACUCUGAUCCAGCCAUGCCGCGUGCAGGAAGACUGCCCUAUGGGUUGUAAACUGCUUUUAUACAGGAAGAAACAGCUCUACGUGUAGAGCCUUGACGGUACUGUAAGAAUAAGGAUCGGCUAACUCCGUGCCAGCAGCCGCGGUAAUACGGAGGAUCCAAGCGUUAUCCGGAAUCAUUGGGUUUAAAGGGUCCGUAGGUGGAUAAUUAAGUCAGAGGUGAAAUCCUGCAGCUCAACUGUAGAAUUGCCUUUGAUACUGGUUAUCUUGAGUUAUUAUGAAGUAGUUAGAAUAUGUAGUGUAGCGGUGAAAUGCAUAGAUAUUACAUAGAAUACCAAUUGCGAAGGCAGAUUACUAAUAAUAUACUGACACUGAUGGACGAAAGCGUGGGGAGCGAACAGGAUUAGAUACCCUGUAGUCCACGCCGUA